GAAGAAGGAGGGAGGCGUGCUUAACACAUGCAACUCGAACGGAAAGGAACUGCAUUUGUGGGAUGCUAGAGUAAAAAACAAAUGAGUAACAAGUGAGUCACCUGAACUUGACUUUGGGAUAACUUCACGAAACUGGGGCUAAUACCGGAUAGGAGCUCCUGCUGCAUGGUGGGGGUUGGAAAGUUUCGGCGGUUGGGGAUGGACUCGCGGCUUAUCAGCUUGUUGGUGGGGUAGUGGCUUACCAAGGCUUUGACGGGUAGCCGGCCUGAGAGGGUGACCGGCCACAUUGGGACUGAGAUACGGCCCAGACUCCUACGGGAGGCAGCAGUGGGGAAUAUUGCACAAUGGGCGGAAGCCUGAUGCAGCAACGCCGCGUGCGGGAUGACGGCCUUCGGGUUGGUAACCGCUUUCGCCUGUGACGAAGCGUGAGUGACGGUAAUGGGUAAAGAAGCACCGGCUAACUACGUG
RNAcentral lists this ribosomal RNA (468 nucleotides) under uncultured bacterium. RNAcentral describes it as "partial 16S ribosomal RNA". It matches the Rfam family "Bacterial small subunit ribosomal RNA", at positions 38 to 507 of the family's 1533-position model. The record is from RNAcentral.